GUGCGAAUGCUGACAUGAGUAACGUAAGGGGAGUGAGAGACUCCCCCGCCGAAAGUCCAAGGGUUCCUGCUUAAAGCUAAUCUGAGCAGGGUUAGCCGGCCCCUAAGUCGAGGCAGAAAUGCGUAGACGAUGGGAACCACGUUAAUAUUCGUGGGCCUGGAGGAAGUGACGGAUCAUUGAGGUAGUCCAAUCUUAUCGGAUUGAACGGGCUGCUGCGUGGUUCCAGGAAAUAGCUCCUCCUUAUAGACCGUACCCGAAACCGACACUGGUG
This 271-nucleotide ribosomal RNA is filed under the name Mesorhizobium sp. RNAcentral describes it as "partial 23S ribosomal RNA". It matches the Rfam family "Bacterial large subunit ribosomal RNA", at positions 1288 to 1665 of the family's 2925-position model. Lineage: Bacteria; Pseudomonadati; Pseudomonadota; Alphaproteobacteria; Hyphomicrobiales; Phyllobacteriaceae. The record is from RNAcentral.